AUGGAUGUUAAGACUGCUUUCCUGAAUGGAGAGUUGGAUGAGGAAAUUUAUAUGGAACAACCAGAUGGGUUUGUAAUAGAUGGUCAGGAAGGGAAAGUGUGCAAGUUGCUGAAGUCUUUGUACGGACUGAAGCAAGCACCCAAACAGUGGCAUGAGAAGUUCGAAAGGACUUUAACAGCCGCAGGCUUUGUUGUAAACGAAGCUGACAAAUGUGUGUACUAUCGCCAUGGUGGGGGCGAGGGAAUUAUGCUUUGCUUGUAUAUUGAUGACAUACUGAUUUUCGGAACAAAUCUGAAUGUUAUUAAGGAGGUAAUGAUUUCCUAUCUCGUUGUUUUGAGAUGA
This 342-nucleotide ribosomal RNA is filed under the name Triticum aestivum (bread wheat). RNAcentral describes it as "partial small subunit ribosomal RNA". Lineage: Eukaryota; Viridiplantae; Streptophyta; Magnoliopsida; Poales; Poaceae. The record is from RNAcentral.